GGAAGAUAUGUGUAAUUUUCUUUAUCUGAUACAAAAUUAGUGCAACUUUGAAAUAACUGCAUACAGAAUGCCUGAAGUGAAGACCAUAUUGCUUCUCAUUGAAAAAGUCAAGAACAAACUCUGAACCCCCUUUUGAGCAAAAAGUGCCCAUGGAAUGGAAGCAGCCUGGAAUGCUUGGUUUCUACAUGGAGAGAUUCCUGAAUCCACAGAAGCUUCAGAGUGAACAAAUGAAGGCAUGGAGCUCAACCCAGACAAUCCACCAGGGUCUGACUUCACUCCUCAUCUUUGACUCCCUUGUGUCUUACCCUGCGAUCUUAAAUGGAGGGAAUUAAUAGAGGAAGGGAAUCAUGAGGGAGGGAGAAGAGAAGAGUAUAGGGGAGCACUGGCAAUGAUAUCUACCAAAUUUUGCUAUGCCCUUAUAUGCACAUACCCUACAAUGAAUCCUACAUAUAUAUAAUUAUAAUGCACUAUAAUAAUAAUAAUAAUAAUAAUAGAAGGGAGAUGGGGAGAGGGAUGACUAGAGUGAAAGGUAAGGUACUGGGGAAUGAGACUGAUGAAAUUGU
Molecule: long non-coding RNA, 563 nt
Organism: Sciurus carolinensis (gray squirrel)
Lineage: Eukaryota; Metazoa; Chordata; Mammalia; Rodentia; Sciuridae
Exons: 3
Source: RefSeq, a predicted model, not a curated record